Non-coding RNA from Loxodonta africana (African savanna elephant), 75 nucleotides. The record is from Rfam. Lineage: Eukaryota; Metazoa; Chordata; Mammalia; Proboscidea; Elephantidae.
GGCCUGGUGGUGCAGUGGUUAAAGCAUUUGGCUGCUAACCAAAAGGCUGGUGGUUCAAAGCCACCAGCCACUCCA